RNAcentral lists this ribosomal RNA (467 nucleotides) under uncultured bacterium. RNAcentral's name for it is "bacterial SSU rRNA". It matches the Rfam family "Bacterial small subunit ribosomal RNA", at positions 32 to 474 of the family's 1533-position model. The record is from RNAcentral.
AAUCAACGCUGGCGGCGUGCCUCAGACAUGCAAGUCGAACGAGAAAGUUCCCUUCGGGGAAUGAGUAAAGUGGCGCACGGGUGAGUAACACGUAGGUAAUCUACCUUCGGGUGGGGAAUAACCCAGGGAAACUUGGGCUAACACCGCAUAAUGCAGCGGCACCACAUGGUGACAGUUGUUAAAGCGGGGGAUUUUCGGACCUCGCGCCUGGAGAGGAGCCUGCGGCAGAUUAGCUAGNGGUAAGGUAACGGCUUACCAAGGCGACGAUCUGUAGCCGGCCUGAGAGGGGCGGUCGGCCACACUGACACUGACAUACGGGUCAGACUCCUACGGGAGGCAGCAGUCGGGAAUUUUGGGCAAUGGGCGAAAGCCUGACCCAGCAACGCCGCGUGAAGGAUGAAAUCCCUCGGGGAUGUAAACUUCGCAAGAAUGGGAAGAAUUAGUAGGGGCUAAUACCCUCUAUGAUG